Molecule: microRNA precursor, 156 nt
Filed under: Pelobates cultripes (western spadefoot toad)
Lineage: Eukaryota; Metazoa; Chordata; Amphibia; Anura; Pelobatidae
Source: RNAcentral
GCAGACACAUUCCAGCCAAUCAGCAGCAGACCCUCCCUCCCAGACCCUCCCACCUCCUGGACAGCUCACUAAGAAUGCAGCUUCAAAUGGAUGCUGUCCAGGAGGUGGGAGGGUCUGGGAGGGAGGGUCUGGUGCUGAUUGGCUGGAAUGUGUCUG